GACGAACGCUGGCGGCGUGCUUAACACAUGCAAGUCGAGCGAGGCCCCUCCUUCGGGAGGGUGUCCUAGCGGCGAACGGGUGAGUAACACGUUGGCAACCUGCCCUCAGCUCUGGGAUAACUCCGGGAAACCGGGGCUAAUACCGGAUACGACCUCCACGGGCAUCUGCGGAGGUGGAAAGUUUUUCGGCUGAGGAUGGGCCCGCGGCCUAUCAGCUAGUUGGUGGGGUAGUGGCCCACCAAGGCGACGACGGGUAGCCGGCCUGAGAGGGCGACCGGCCACACUGGGACUGAGACACGGCCCAGACUCCUACGGGAGGCAGCAGUGGGGAAUAUUGCGCAAUGGGCGAAAGCCUGACGCAGCGACGCCGCGUGAGGGACGAAGGCCUUCGGGUUGUAAACCUCUUUCAGCAGGGACGAAGCGAAAGUGACGGUACCUGCAGAAGAAGCACCGGCCAACUACGUG
Molecule: ribosomal RNA, 465 nt
Filed under: uncultured bacterium
Lineage: Bacteria
Description: partial 16S ribosomal RNA
Rfam family: Bacterial small subunit ribosomal RNA
Source: RNAcentral